RNAcentral lists this ribosomal RNA (570 nucleotides) under uncultured bacterium. RNAcentral's name for it is "bacterial SSU rRNA". It matches the Rfam family "Bacterial small subunit ribosomal RNA", at positions 328 to 917 of the family's 1533-position model. The record is from RNAcentral.
GAAUUCGAUUCCUACGGGAGGCAGCAGUGGGGAAUAUUGCACAAUGGGCGAAAGCCUGAUGCAGCAACGCCGCGUGAGUGAAGAAGGCUUUCGGGUCGUAAAACUCUGUCCUAAGGGAAGAAUAAUGACGGUACCUUAGGAGGAAGCCCCGGCUAACUACGUGCCAGCAGCCGCGGUAAUACGUAGGGGGCGAGCGUUAUCCGGAAUCACUGGGCGUAAAGGGUGCGUAGGCGGCCAAAUAAGCCAGAGGUGAAAGGCUACGGCUCAACCGUAGUAAGCCUUUGGAACUGUAUGGCUUGAGUGCAGGAGAGGAGAGUGGAAUUCCUAGUGUAGCGGUGAAAUGCGUAGAUAUUAGGAGGAACACCAGUGGCGAAGGCGACUCUCUGGACUGCAACUGACGCUGAGGCACGAAAGCGUGGGGAGCGAACAGGAUUAGAUACCCUGGUAGUCCACGCCGUAACGAUGAGUGCUAGGUGUCGGGGGUUCACACCCUCGGUGCCGGAGUUAACGCAUUAAGCACUCCCGCCUGGGGAGUACGGUCGCAAGACUGAAACUCAAGGAAUUGACGGA